RNAcentral lists this ribosomal RNA (404 nucleotides) under uncultured Fusobacteriaceae bacterium. RNAcentral's name for it is "bacterial SSU rRNA". It matches the Rfam family "Bacterial small subunit ribosomal RNA", at positions 356 to 774 of the family's 1533-position model. Lineage: Bacteria; Fusobacteriati; Fusobacteriota; Fusobacteriia; Fusobacteriales; Fusobacteriaceae. The record is from RNAcentral.
GGGGAAUAUUGGACAAUGGACCAAAAGUCUGAUCCAGCAAUUCUGUGUGCACGAUAAAGUUUUUCGGAAUGUAAAGUCCUUUCAGUUGGGACGAAGAACGUGACGGUACCAACAGGAGAAGCGACGGCUAAUGACGGGCCAGCAGCCGCGGUAAUACGUAUGUCGCAAGCGUUAUCCGGAUUUAUUGGGCGUAAAGCGCGUCUAGGUGGUUUGGUAAGUCUGAUGUGAAAAUGCGGGGCUCAACUCCGUAUUGCGUUGGAAACUGUCAAACUAGAGUACUGGAGAGGUGGGCGGAACUACAAGUGUAGAGGUGAAAUUCGUAGAUAUUUGUAGGAAUGCCGAUGGAGAAGUCAGCCCACUGGACAGAUACUGACGCUGAAGCGCGAAAGCGUGGGUAGCAAACA